UACAGAGGAGCCAAGCGUUGUCCGGAUUGACUGGGCGUAAAGCGCACGCAGGCGGACGCGCGCGUGGGGUGUGAAAUCUGGCCGCUUAACGGCCAGGCGCCAUCCCAUACGGCGCGUCUGGAGCAAUGCAGAGGUCGGUGGAAUUGCCGGUGUAGUGGUGAAAUGCGUAGAGAUCGGCAGGAACACCCAGGGGGAAACCAGCCGACUGGGCAUUUGCUGACGCUGAGGUGCGAGAGCGUGGGGAGCGAACAGG
Molecule: ribosomal RNA, 253 nt
Filed under: uncultured bacterium
Lineage: Bacteria
Description: partial 16S ribosomal RNA
Rfam family: Bacterial small subunit ribosomal RNA
Source: RNAcentral